UAUCGAGAUNCGACUAAGCCAUGCGAGUCGAAUGUUCUUCGUGAACAUGGCGGACUGCUCAAUAACACGUGGACAACCUACCCUUGGGUCUGGCAUAAUCCUGGGAAACUGGGUAUAAUUCCAGAUAGGUCACAGAUGCUGGAAUGCACUGUGGCCGAAAGCUCCGGCGCCCAAGGAUGGGUCUGCGGCCUAUCAGGGUUGUAGUGGGUGUAACGGACCUACUAGCCUACGACGGGUACGGGUUGUGAGAGCAAGAGCCCGGAGAUGGAUUCUGAGACACGAAUCCAGGCCCUACGGGGUGCAGCAGGCGCGAAAACUUUACAAUGCGGGAAACCGUGAUAAGGGAAUCUCGAGUGCCAGCAUAUAAUGUUGGCUGUCCAGAUGCCUAAAAAGCAUCUGUUAGCAAGGGCCGGGCAAGACCGGUGCCAGCCGCCGCGGUAACACCGGCGGCCCGAGUGGUAACCGCUUUUAUUGGGUCUAAAGGGUCUGUANCCGGCCAAGUAAGUCCCUUGGGAAAUCU
Molecule: ribosomal RNA, 520 nt
Filed under: uncultured archaeon
Lineage: Archaea
Description: bacterial SSU rRNA
Rfam family: Archaeal small subunit ribosomal RNA
Source: RNAcentral